Long non-coding RNA from Callorhinus ursinus (northern fur seal), 637 nucleotides. RefSeq lists it as uncharacterized. NCBI's taxonomy places the organism in Eukaryota, Metazoa, Chordata, Mammalia, Carnivora, Otariidae. The record is from RefSeq and is a predicted model, not a curated record.
AGAGAGGUCUGGAGACCGUCUCGUUCUUUUGCGUUUUCGGCGCUUUCCUCCUUGUCUUUCUUUGGUGGUUGCUUCGUCCGUUGCUGUGCGGGCCCGGGAACGCGGGUUUGCUGUUGUGAGUGGUCAGUGCGAUCAGAGGGUACAGAAUGGAUCUCCGAAGAGGGGUUCGCCGCUGGACCUCCAAGAGAACCCCCUGUAGACUUGUCCAGCCUUCUGUCUCCUGAUCUCGGGAAGUUACUGUUGGCGGAAAGCGGACUUGGAGUGGACCAGGAAUGAGAUGUUGGAAUCCGGUCGCUUAUCUUGUUUUUACGGGCUUACUUCCUGCAGGUUGGGAGCCCUGUGAGCCACAGGGCAGUAAAUAGAUGCGGCCUGAUGUGCUUGGUUCAGUCUGUCCUGCAACAGGACUUGAGAUCUCAACUAUGGAGCUGGAAUACAAGGGUUCUUGGAAAAGAUUGCCUCUGCUUUCCUGAGAAAGGGUGAUAGUUUGGUUGAAACAGUCUCACAAGGGUUUUGUGUAACCUGAGAACUAUCUAGAGGCCUGUGCCCAUUUUGAAGAAUCCAGGAUUAUGGUUAAAUUUAGUAAAACUUUUAACUUGUAUCCUUAUCUGGAGAGAGAAAAUAAAAUUCUUUAAACGAA